GGANUCACUGGGCGUAAAGGACGCGUAGGCGGAUUNCCAAGUCUCUUGUGAAAUCUAACGGCUCANCCGUUAAACUGCUUGGGAAACUGAUAAUCUAGAGUAAGGGAGAGGCAGAUGGAAUUCUUGGUGUAGGGGUAAAAUCCGUAGAUAUCAAGAAGAAUACCUAUUGCGAAGGCGAUCUGCUGGAACUUAACUGACGCUAAUGCGUGAAAGCGUGGGGAGCAAACAGGAUUAGAUACCCUGGUAGUNCACGCCCUAAACGAUGUAUACCGGUUGUUGCUGUGCUGGUCACGGCAGUAAUCCACCUAACGGAUUAAGUAUACCGCCUGGGGAGUACGGUCGUAAGAUUAAAACUCAAAGGAAUAGACGGGGACCCGCACAAGCGGUGGAGCAUGUGGUUUAAUUCGAAGAUACGCGAAGAACCUUACCCGGACUUGAUAUCUAACAAAUCAUCCAGAGAUGGAAGAGUGUCUGCUUGCAGAAAUGUUAAGACAGGUGCUGCACGGCUGUCGUCAGCUCGUGUCGUGAGAUGUUGGGUUAAGUCCCGCAACGAGCGCAACCCACGUCAUUAGUUGCUAACGGUUCGGCCGAGCACUCUAAUGAGACUGCCUUCGUAAGGAGGAGGAAGGUGUGGACGACGUCAAGUCAUCAUGGCCCUUAUGUCCGGGGCGACACACGUGCUACAAUGGCAUAUACAAUAAGACGCAAUAUCGCGAGAUGGAGCAAAUCUAAAAAAUAUGUCCCAGUUCGGAUUGGAGUCUGCAACUCGACUCCAUGAAGCCGGAAUCGCUAGUAAUCGUAGAUCAGCCAUGCUACGGUGAAUACGUUCCCGGGUC
This 836-nucleotide ribosomal RNA is filed under the name uncultured bacterium. RNAcentral's name for it is "bacterial SSU rRNA". It matches the Rfam family "Bacterial small subunit ribosomal RNA", at positions 547 to 1380 of the family's 1533-position model. The record is from RNAcentral.